RNAcentral lists this long non-coding RNA (8135 nucleotides) under Lactuca sativa (garden lettuce). RNAcentral's name for it is "long non-coding RNA (LSAT_LNC008889)". The record is from RNAcentral. Lineage: Eukaryota; Viridiplantae; Streptophyta; Magnoliopsida; Asterales; Asteraceae.
AUCCCGCACCUAAGCUGUUAGCUACAGCUAGGCCCGCAGGCCUGGGGUGACAAAUGUCAUAACAUUUCAACGCCUGAAGAACGUUGUUACAGGCAGUCUGGGUCAUUAGUAUGGUUAUAAAACUCACAUGGAGUAUUAAGAACUUAUUGAUUUACCGGGUUAUCAAAUGCCUUAGUGCUUUUAUACUUACACAAAUUUACUACUCUAGGCAUGAAAAACACGAUUGCAUUUCAGUGUUGGAACUUUUAAACUACCACACACUUAUGAACGGAUAUUGGAUUUAUAAAAGAAAACCUUCAAAACAGUCGAGUCUUUGUAGAAGACUACUUUUAUACUAUUAGGAAAUAUUGGAUUUCCUAGGAGUCUUUUGAAACAUCUGUAAACAAAUAUCAUUUGAUUUUAUUCAAACAUUGUCACUAAAUACUUAUGAACUCACCAGCUUAAAUGCUGACCUACUCUUUCAAAACUACUUGUAUUUCUCAGGGAUUCAGUAAUACAGGUAAACUACUGCUUUUGAAGAAGGGACGCUGCGGCGUUAGUUUAAUUUCAUUUUGACAACAUAUUGUAAUUGAUAUUUUGGAACUUGUAAUACCUACAAACGAUGUAACUUUUUCAAUUAUAUAUAUGUUGGUUGUGUUUACUUUCUUUACUAUGUAUUCAACUGUUUCGAUACUACAUGAAGUCAUCCGCCCUCGAACGAUUCCGCCGUUCUGGUUUGGGGGUGUGACAGAUUGGUAUCAGAGCAUUGUUUAUAGUGAACUAAGUAUAUCGAACCACAUAAGAUAUACAAACUAUAAAUGCAAAGGGACUCAAAGUCUUUGACAACACAUUUUUACACCUAAAACCUUGUUUCAUUUAACUUAGAUUGUUUUGGGUCGUAAAAGUACAAUUACAUACAUGCAAUAAGAAGUAUUAAGACAAGUUGGACACUACGAUUAAACCUCGACAUAUGUAAUCGGAUUUGGGACGAAUAUAGCCUGAUCAACUAUAUUUAUCCAAGAUUGGACUAACAUAUGUCGAGGAAUGGUCGUAGUGAGCAAAAAGUCAAAACUUACCAAAAUAAACAUUUGUAUCAAACAUACAAAUUUAAAUACUAUAGGAGUAUUUGGUACGUGCAAUAGUUUAAUCGACAUGCUUAGUUUUACAUGCUUCAAGUUUUGUUCAAUUCCUAUAACCCUAUUCUUGUAUAGUCAAAUGGCUGGAUUCAUUCCACACGGAGACCCCUACUAUCUCAACCAAGGUAACGGAGGAUGGGUCGAAGAAGAUCCCGAAGAGGAUGAAGAACCUAUCGAGUUGGAUGAAGGGGAUGACUCUGGGACAGACUCAGAACCAGAGGUAAUCAACCCACCACCCGCACAACCUCCUGUCUUUGUGAGAAACUUUCANGAAGGAUCCCCUUUUGGGGAAGUCACCUCCACCAUUGGAGCCAACAACAAGGGAUACGUCCUCCCUACGGCAUGUGUCGGAAUUUCUAUGAUGUCCGCGGCGGAGGUUCGGCCGAUCGAGCACUGCCAGUCAUGGUGGGCAAACUAGCCAACCAGUCCUAUCAAUCCGGGGCUCAAGCUAGCCGGAUUCGGGAAGUCAAUGUGGAAGUACAGGUGCAUACUUCUGACAUCCGCCGGCUGGAUAGGUUGCAGGAUGACACCCAACUCCGCGCUGACGCGUUCCAAGCACAAAUGAUUGCAGCCCUCUCUGAGCUGAGGGAACAGCAAGCCGCCUUUGAUAGGCGCCUUAUGGAGGCAAAACAAUCAGAUGCGGAGUCAAGCUCCAAGCGCAACCUACGUCCCAAGUAGUGCUUGUUAAUCCCAAAAUUUUGUUAUAAAAUAGGACUAUCGGCUAAAAAUCUUACUUUCUUUAACUUCCUGUAAUCGGAGACCUUUAGAAUGGUCAAAAUUUUCUAACUUCGGAUGUAACGCAACCAUAUGUUUAAUAUAUAUAGGGCAUAUCUCUUUUGUGUGUUAAAUAUGUGCAUUUCAGUCGAGUUCAUGAGUUUGUUUAUUUAUUGUUUAACUCCAUUGGUAAAACAAACUCAAAGCCCAACGUUGGUCAAACCAAAUUUCGAACUAUUAAAGAUAGUUAACUCAUUGUCAAUCAACUCUCAACCACCAAAACUUACGAUCUUUUAUUUUUUUCCUUAUCAACACGAUGCCGCCCCAUAGAUCUACACGCUGUGUCAACAACGCACCACCUCCACCACCACCUCCCCCAACGGAAAAUGCCGCUUUGAUAGCUGUUGUAACGGCUGCAGUAACAGCAGCAAUGGCCCAAAUGAGUAACAACGAUUCUGGUGGGGGAGUAAAUAGUUCUACGAAUGGCCAACGUCAAGGUCGUUCGGUGGAUUGUACAUAUAAGGAUUUCAUGAAUAGCAGACCCAUUACUUUUAAUGGGACUGGAGGGAUAAUGGCUCUAUCACAGUGGAUAGAGAAAAUUGAAGGAGUUUUCGAGAUUUGUUCUUGUCCAGAAGGGAGCAAAGUGAAGUUCGCUGCCUGUACCUUCUCUGAGAGAGCUCUGACAUGGUGGAAUGGCCAUGACAAUUCACUAACACUAGUAGUGGCUAACUCUAUGGGCUGGGAGAAUCUAAAACAAAUAUUACUGCAAGAGUACUGUCCAAGGGGCAAAUUACAAAAGCUCCAACAGGAACUUUGGGGCCUUACUAUGGUAGGCUCGGACAUCACGACAUAUACCAAUAGGUAUAGCAAUUUAGCAAUCCUUUGCCCAGGGAUGCUUGCUGUAGAGAGCAAGAAAAUCGAAAGAUACAUCUGGGGACUGUCACCCCAAAUUCAAGGAAGUGUUCUAGCUUCCAAACCAAUCACCUUCGAUAGCGCCAAAUAGUUGGCACAAGCUCUCGUGGACCAUGAGGUCUGCCAAAACUUCGCAACCACCGCACCGGAGCAACCCAGAGUAAGCAACAACAACAACGAUAAUACCAACAACAACAACAAGAAGAGGUUCUGGAACAAAAGGAAGAGUCAACCUUCACAAGAACCUUCCAAGAAACAACAGAUUGCGACAGUCCAUGCCGCUACUGCCCCCACUACUGCUCCUGUUACCCCCAUCCCAGUAAAGCGAUAUGCUGGGAACUUCCCGAAGUGCAGCAAGUGCAAUUUCCAGCACAAUGGAAAUUGUCGGGAGAUGCACUGCAACAACUGCAACCAAAAGGGGCACAUUGCCUAUUUCUGUAGGGCACCGGCACGACCAAUCACCCAAGUCCCUGGGGUCGGUGUGGGCCAGACGUGUUACGGUUGUGGUGAGGCUGGACACUACAAGAGGGACUGUCCUAAGGCAAGGAAUGCUGGCGGCACGGGACGAGUGCUGGCAAUAGGGCAGAACGAAGCGAUAGCUGAUCCCACGGUGGUUACGGGUACGUUUCUCCUCAAUAACGUUUAUGCAUGCAUACUCUUUGAUUGUGGUGCGGAGAGGAGUUUCGUGAGUCAUAAAUUCAAGCACGUACUAAAACAGAACCCUAAAACACUCAAUAAGAUAUUUACAGUAGAAAUGGAAAACGGUAGAACGGAAAGCACAAACAAUAUGUACAUAGGCUGCACACUAACUCUAAACGAACACUCAUUUCAAAUCAAUCUAAUGUCGAUCACUAUAAAGAGCUUUGAUGUCAUCAUCGGUAUGGAUUGGUUAAGCCUACAUCAUGCCGAUAUACUUUGUCACGAAAGGGACGUUCGCCUAAAUCUGCCAAUCGGCGAAACCCUUGUCAUUUAUGGUGACAAACCCAGUACCAAUUUACAAAUUAUCUCUUGCGUCAAAGCCCAAAAAUACUUACGUAAAAAGUACCAUGCCUUCUUAGCCCACGUGGUAGAUAAGGAAAAAGAAACGAAAGGCAUCAGAGACAUUCAAGAAGUCAGCGAUUUUCCCGAUGUCUUCCCUGAAGAUCUUCCCGGAGUUCCACCAGAACAUCAAGUCGAGUUCAGAAUCGACUUAAUUCCCGGAGCUACACCAGUAUCCAAGUCACCAUAUUGUCUAGCACUGGCAGAGAUGCAAGAACUAUCUAGCCAACCAAACGAACUACUCAACAAAGGUUUCGUCAGGCCGAGCUUCUCACCUUGGGGAGCACCAGUCUUAUUCGUAAAGAAGAAGGAUGGAUCGUUCCGCAUGUGCAUCGAUUACCGGGAACUCAACAAGCUCACUAUCAAGAACCGAUAUCCUUUACCACGCAUUGACGACUUGUUCGACCAACUCCAAGGAGCGAGUUAUUUCUCAAAGAUCGACUUAAGAUCCGGGUACCACCAACUACGAGUCUUGGAAGGAGAUGUUUCCAAAACAGCUUUUCGAACUCGUUAUGGUCACUACGAGUUUGUAGUGAUGCCCUUUGGAUUAACAAAUGCACCGGCGGUGUUCAUGGACUUAAUGAACCGAGUAUGUCGUUCAUUCUUGGACAAGUUUGUGAUCGUAUUCAUCGACGAUAUACUCAUCUAUUCAAAGAUUAAAGUGGAUCACGGUCAACACUUCCGACAAGUCUUGGAAAUGCUAAGAAAAGAGAAGCUAUACGCAAAAUUCUCCAAGUGUGAAUUUUGGAUUCAAAAGGUAGAUUUCCUAGGUCACGUGGUUAGCAAAGACGGAAUACACGUGGACCCUUCCAAAAUCAAAGCAAUCGAGAACUGGUCAGCUCCAAGAACCCCAAUAGAAAUUCGACAAUUCUUGGGCCUUGCUGGCUACUACCGAAGGUUCAUACAGAACUUCUCGAAGAUUGCGAAAACACUUACUACCCUGACCCAGAAGGGUGUAACUUUCGAUUGGAACGAAAGACAAGACGCUACAUUCCAAACACUGAAGCAAGCACUAUGCAGCGCACCUAUUUUGUCCUUCCCAGAAGGAACAGAAGACUUCGUGGUCUAGUAUGAUGCAUCUAAUCAAGGUCUGGGAUGCGUUCUAAUGCAACGAGGUAAGGUCAUCGCUUACGCCUCAAGACAACUCAAGACGCACGAAGUCAACUACACUACACAUGAUCUCGAACUAGGAGCAGUCGUUUUCGCGCUAAAGAUCUGGAGACACUAUCUUGAUGGCACAAAAUGCACCAUCUUCACCAAUCAUAAAAGCCUCCAGCACAUUCUCAACCAAAAAGAACUCAACAUGAGGCAGAGACGAUGGGUUGAACUGCUUAGCGACUACGAAUGCGAGAUUCGCUAUCACCCGGGAAAAGCCAAUGUAGUAGCUGAUGCUCUUAGUCGAAAAGAAUACUCAGGCUGCCGAGUGAAAUCCCUAACCAUGACGAUCCAUUUACAUCUAUCCACACGAAUCAAGGAAGCUCAGAGGGAAGCCUUGAAAACGGAGAAUGUGGUAGGUGAAGCCCUAAGAGGAAUGGACAAGAAUCUUGAAGUCAAGGGGGACGGAGUUCGUCACUUCAUGGAUCGAAUCUGGACACCGAAGUUUGGUGGAUUCAAAGACGUGGUCAUGAACGAGGCGCAUAAGACUCGAUACUCCAUGCAUUCAAGUUCAGACAAAAUGUAUCUGGACCUCAAGAAACUGUAUUUGUGGCCGAACAUGAAAGCAGAGAUAGCUACCUAUGUGGGCAAGUGUCUGACUUGCGCCAAAGUCAAGGUAGAAUACCAGAAACCAUUAGGAUUACUACAACAACCUGAAAUACUUGAGUGGAAGUGGGAACGGAUAACCAUGGAUUUCAUAACCAAAUUACCCAAGACAACAGGUGGAUUAGACACCAUCCGGGUAAUUAUCGAUAGGUUAACCAAAUCCGCACACUUCCUAUCCAUAAAGGAAACCGAUAAGAUGGAGAUGCUAACUCGAACUUACAUCCGAGAGAUUGUACGACUGCAUAGUGUACCAAUACCCAUUAUCUCUGACAGAGAUAGUAGGUUCACCUCGCGAUUCUGGCAAUCGUUACAAAAAUCCCUAGGAACAAGGCUCGACAUCAGUACUGCUUACCAUCCACAAACCGACGGUCAAAGUGAGAGGACCAUACAAACCCUAGAAGAUAUGCUAAGAGCUUUUGUAAUCGAUUUUGGUAAAGCAUGGGAUACCCAUUUACCACUAAUUGAAUUUUGGUAUAACAAUAGCUAUCACUACAGCAUUAAAGUUGCUCCAUUUGAAGCCCUCUACGGCCGGAAGUGCAGAUCACCACUGUGCUGGACUGAAGUAGGUGACACGCAACUAGCCAAGGGACAAGUACCCGACAGCACUCUCACUGGACCAGAAAUCAUAAGAGAGACAACCGAGAAGAUUGUAGAAAUUCGGGAACGACUAAAAAGUCUUUAUAAGAAUAUCUAUUAUGUUAGAUAUUGUGUCAAGGGUUACAGAAAUACUGAGAACACUAAAAUCCGAGUUAUAACGAAGAAGUUAUGACCAUUCUAAGAUUUCCGACAAAACCGGCAACACCGAUUAAACGAAAAACGCGAAGUUUCAAUACAAUAGCAUUUAGCCUUAAGUAUCUAAAUGAAAGUUAUAGAUAACAUUAAACCAUGAGCGUACACAAAAAGAACGUCCAAAUCUGACUUCGUAUGAGGAAGUUAUGAUUUUUCCAAGAUCCGAAUAUAGCAGUACACAGCUAAAAACUCGAAAUAGAGCUCGAGAGACUUUUGAACAAAACAACCUAAAGGAGAAUCGAAGGUCUCAACAUUAGUAGCGCAACGGCGAAAAGUCUGACGAAAACGGACAUUAGAUGAAGAAGUUAUGGAUUUUAUAAAGACUUUUCGUGUCCCGGCCCGUUAAAAAUAAAUAAUUAAAAAUAAAAUCAGAAUUUGCCUAUGAAGUCUAAACGAGAGUUUUAGAUCAUAUUUUUAGCUACGCGUUCAUAUAAAGAACGUCGAAAACAGAGCUCGUACGCGGAAGUUAUAGAUUUUACAAGUUUGGGGUCCAAAAUCCGAGGCUGUCAGGCCUCCCCACGACGUGGCACUGUUUUGCCGCGACCUGGCAAGUGACUAAGGGCGUCCAAUCAAUGGAAGAGGAUAGAAUUGCUCCCCACGACGUGGCACUCAAAAAUACCCCCUAUAAAUAGAACUCUUGGGGUGCCGGGUUUAGGUACUCCAUUCUUCCCUCUCUCGUGCUGAAACUUUGCGGUUAAGCUCCCAAAGCCCUCCCGAAGCCCCGAUUUUCACACUCAAGUUCCGAAGGAAGGUUCUACUCUCCCGAGAUUCCUGAGAUUCCCGAGAAUCCCGAGAAAAUCGACUUUCACAAGCCGAAGUUCUGCUCGAUUUUCAUCUCGUUUUCCCUAAUCAAUCAAGUGAGUUCAUACCCCUAUAAACUAUACUUUCAAAUGUUUAUCACUGCUGUUUAUUCACUUUUAAGGGGGGGAAAUACAAGUAAACACACGGUUAUUAUCGUGUGUAACAUAAAGUUUCAAUAUAUACUCGUUACUAUCAAGUGAAUCAUAUGUGAUUCAUAACUACUACAUGGGAACUUUUGUAUGCAAUAUAUAUUCACGACAACAUCUUGUCUUUUGGAAAUAAAACAUGUUUAUAUAUAAUUAUAUAUAUGCGAAUCAAACCCUUUAUUUACACUUAAGUAUAUGUGAUCAAUUAUGUCACUUUAGAUGUUAUACUUUACAUAACAAGUGAGCAUUACACUUGGAUUUACUAUAUGAACGAAACACACACUUUGAAUAACUAUAAUAGGUAUAGUUACGAGGAAAUCAUGAACAUUUACAUACUAGAAAUACUAUAUCAAAGAGAUAUUUUCAUAUUCAAGAACAAAUGGACAUUUUCAUACGUAAAUCUGUUUUAUACUAUGUUUUGUGAGACAUUUCACGUACCUUGGAGUAUACAUUUUAAGUCCUAUAUUAUAUACCAUAAUCCCUUGUAAGGGGAGCGUGAUACUUGUGUAUAGAUCUAUACGGGAUUGACAAUCCCGCACCUAAGCUGUUAGCUAUAGCUAGGCCCGCAAGCCUGGGGUGACAAAUGUCAUAACAUUUCAACGCCUGAAGAACGUUGUUACAGGCAGUCUGGGUCGUUAGUAUGGUUAUAAAACUCACAUGGAGUAUUAAGAACUUAUUGUUUUACCGGGUUAUCAAAUGCCUUAGUGCUUUUUUACUUACACAAUUUACUACUCUAGGCAUGAAAAACACGAUUGCAUUUCAGUGUUGGAACUUUUAAACUACCACACACUUAUGAACGGAUAUUGGAUUUAUAAAAGAAAACCUUCAAAACAGUCGAGUCUUUGUAGAAGACUACUUU